GCCGAGGUGGCGGAAUUGGCAGACGCGCAUGGUUGAGGGCCAUGUGGACACUUAAACGUCCGUGCGGGUUCAAGUCCCGCCCUCGGCA
This 88-nucleotide transfer RNA is filed under the name Candidatus Acetothermia bacterium. RNAcentral describes it as "tRNA-Leu". It matches the Rfam family "tRNA". Rfam says of the family: Transfer RNA (tRNA) molecules are approximately 80 nucleotides in length. Their secondary structure includes four short double-helical elements and three loops (D, anti-codon, and T loops). RNAcentral also lists the same sequence under 1 other name. The record is from RNAcentral. Lineage: Bacteria; Candidatus Bipolaricaulota.